RNAcentral lists this non-coding RNA (148 nucleotides) under Homo sapiens (human). The record is from Rfam by way of RNAcentral. Lineage: Eukaryota; Metazoa; Chordata; Mammalia; Primates; Hominidae.
GCCGGGCGCGGUGGCGGGCGCCUGUAAUCCCAGCUACUCGGGAGGCUGAGGCAGGAGAAUGGCAUGAACCCAGGAGGCGGAGCUUGCAGUGAGCCGAGACAGUGCCACUGCAGACCAGCCUGGGCGAAAGAGCGAGACUCUGUCUCUU